RNAcentral lists this ribosomal RNA (253 nucleotides) under uncultured bacterium. Its description in RNAcentral is "partial 16S ribosomal RNA". It matches the Rfam family "Bacterial small subunit ribosomal RNA", at positions 524 to 776 of the family's 1533-position model. The record is from RNAcentral.
UACGAAAGGUGCAAGCGUUACUCGGAAUCACUGGGCGUAAAGCGCACGUAGGCGGACUUACAGGUCAAUUGUGAAAUACCUGAGCUCAACUCAGGAACUGCAGUUGAAACCGUUUGUCUUGAAUACCUGAGAGGGUGGGGGAAUACCUGGUGGAGAAGUGAAAUUCGUAGAGAUCAGGUGGAACACCGGAGGCGAAGGCGCCUGCCUGGCAGUGUAUUGACGCUGAGGUGCGAAAGCCAGGGGAGCGAACGGG